This is a long non-coding RNA of Hypanus sabinus (Atlantic stingray), 631 nucleotides long. RefSeq lists it as uncharacterized. The transcript is spliced from 4 exons. The record is from RefSeq and is a predicted model, not a curated record. Lineage: Eukaryota; Metazoa; Chordata; Chondrichthyes; Myliobatiformes; Dasyatidae.
UUCAAAGGCUACAUGGAUGUUCUGUGAAUUGGGUCUCAGCAUCCAGCUGAAGACUCGGUGGCCAAUGUGACCCACUGGCUUGUGGAAGGACUGUCUGACACAGGGGGUUCAAUUGAAACUGAGAAGUUGGUGCAUGCAAAUUCCUCAAUUUUAUUGAUCCUAAAAGUCUAUCCAUCACAGCCUUUUUUCUGAACAAAUAUCCACAGCCUUUGGACGAGGAAGGCAGUGCCUGAGGAAAUCUCUAACAUUGACUCUAAGCUUCUUCAAGAUUCAGUUGUUAAAAUCAAUGUUCAAAGCAGCCACAAGUAAGAGAAACACAAUUGAACGCAUUGAAAAACUGCACACAACGAAGACCAUCAAAUACGCAAUAUGCAAAAAAAGAACAAAUCGUGCAAACAAGACUGAAGUAAACAAGUAAAAGGCAGAACAUGAACUGCAGAGUCCAGGAAAGUCAGUCCGUUAUGCUGAGGCAAAUGAAGCUGGUCCAGGAGCCUGAUGGCUGCAGGCCAUACCCAUGGAGCCAGACCCCGGUAUAAAGGCGACCAAGGCCUGAGACCGGCCUGUCAGUCUCCAGGAUGUAGUAUGGUGGUCACUCACUGCUUGUUCCUUCUUCCAGUCAAUAAAAGCCGAU